Molecule: long non-coding RNA, 853 nt
Organism: Cyprinus carpio (common carp)
Lineage: Eukaryota; Metazoa; Chordata; Actinopteri; Cypriniformes; Cyprinidae
Source: Ensembl
GGAUUAACGACAAGCGCGAUGUAAAUAGUCUGAAAGCUGCUGGAAAAAACUCAGAGCGAAAGAGAAAAUAAGAUGCAGCACAUGAGAGAAGGAACACAUUUCUCACUGGUGGUGUCUCCCCUACUGGAGAAAUAGUUUCAUUGUCACAAAAAAUUAUCCAGACGAUUCCGCAACAGAUAACCCCAUUGCGCAACCCAUUACCCUGCAGACCAGCUGCAGUCACCGAAAUCGUCCCACAAAAAUGCGAAUGAUGACGCUGAAAGGACCGGUUCCUGCAGGCCUGCCGCCCCUCAUAAACGCGUCAGCGGUGGAGCAGCUCAGAGCCCGCGAAGAACAAAAGACAAAACAGGAUUAACGACAAGCGCGAUGUAAAUAGUCUGAAAGCUGCUGGAAAAACCUCAAAGCAAAAGCGAAAAAAAGAUGGAGCACCUGAGAGAAGGGACACAUUUCUCACUGGUGGUGUCCCCCCUACUGGAGAAAUAGUUUCAUUGUCACAAAAAAAUUAUCCAGACGAUUCUGCAACAGAUAACCCCAUCUCACAACCCAUUACCCUGCAGACCAGCUGCAGUCACCGACAUCGUCCCACAAAAAUGCGAAUGAUGACGCUGAAAGGACCGGUUCCUGCAGGCCUGCCGCGCCUCAUAAACGCGUCAGCGGCGGAGCAGCUCAGAGCCCGCGAAGAGGAAAAGACACAACAGUGAGUUCAGCGACAAUCUUCUUGAAUUAACCUACUACAAUUAGAGAAAGAAAAGAAUGUAAUUCAAACUGAAAAUGCCAAGUUACAGAGAGAGGUGCUUCUUUUACAAAAGGAAGUGUUACAGAUGCAAAAAUAAAAACUUACUACAGAACUACA